Molecule: ribosomal RNA, 434 nt
Filed under: uncultured bacterium
Lineage: Bacteria
Description: partial 16S ribosomal RNA
Rfam family: Bacterial small subunit ribosomal RNA
Source: RNAcentral
AGCGAACGCUGGCGGCAGGCCUAACACAUGCAAGUCGAACGAACCUUUCGGGGUUAGUGGCGGACGGGUGAGUAACACGUGGGAACGUGCCUUUAGGUUCGGAAUAACUCAGGGAAACUUGUGCUAAUACCGAAUGUGCCCUUCGGGGGAAAGAUUUAUCGCCUUUAGAGCGGCCCGCGUCUGAUUAGCUAGUUGGUUGAGGUAAUGGCUCACCAAGGCGACGAUCAGUAGCUGGUCUGAGAGGAUGAUCAGCCACAUUGGGACUGAGACACGGCCCAAACUCCUACGGGAGGCAGCAGUGGGGAAUCUUGCGCAAUGGGCGAGAGCCUGACGCAGCCAGGCCGCGUGAAUGAUGAAGGUCUUAGGAUUGUAAAAUUCUUUCACCGGGGACGAUAAUGACGGUACCCGGAGAAGAAGCCCCGGCUAACUUCGUG